This 402-nucleotide ribosomal RNA is filed under the name bacterium. RNAcentral's name for it is "partial 16S ribosomal RNA". It matches the Rfam family "Bacterial small subunit ribosomal RNA", at positions 355 to 776 of the family's 1533-position model. The record is from RNAcentral.
UGGGGAAUUUUGCACAAUGGGGGAAACCCUGAUGCAGCGACGCCGCGUGAUUUAGAAGGCCUUCGGGUUGUAAAAAUCUUUUCUAUGGGAAGAAAAUGACAGUACCAUAGGAAUAAGGACCGGCUAAUUACGUGCCAGCAGCCGCGGUAAUACGUAAGGUCCGAGCGUUGUCCGGAAUCAUUGGGCGUAAAGGGUACGUAGGCGGGUAAGCAAGUUAGAAGUGAAAUCCUAUAGCUCAACUAUAGUAAGCUUUUAAAACUGCUCAUCUGGAGGUAUGGAAGGGAAAGUGGAAUUCCUAGUGUAGCGGUGAAAUGCGCAGAUAUUAGGAGGAAUACCGGUGGCGAAGGCGACUUUCUGGCCAUAACCUGACGCUGAGGUACGAAAGCGUGGGUAGCAAACAGG